RNAcentral lists this ribosomal RNA (1218 nucleotides) under Thaxterogaster variegatus. RNAcentral describes it as "eukaryotic LSU rRNA". The stretch from base 597 to 1218 matches the Rfam family "Eukaryotic large subunit ribosomal RNA", at positions 1 to 620 of the family's 3401-position model. Lineage: Eukaryota; Fungi; Basidiomycota; Agaricomycetes; Agaricales; Cortinariaceae. The record is from RNAcentral.
GAGGAAGUAAAAGUCGUAACAAGGUUUCCGUAGGUGAACCUGCGGAAGGAUCAUUAUUGAAAUAAACCUGAUGAGUUGCUGCUGGUUCUCUAGGGAACAUUUGUGCGCACUUGUCAUCUUUAUAUCUCCACCUGUGCACCUUUUGUAGGCCUAGGAAUUUAUUUUCCCAGGUCUAUGUUUCUUCAUUAUACCCCCCAAUGUAUGUUAUAGAAUGUAAUAAAAUGGGCCUUUGUUGCCUAUAAACCUAUACAACUUUCAGCAACGGAUCUCUUGGCUCUCGCAUCGAUGAAGAACGCAGCGAAAUGCGAUAAGUAAUGUGAAUUGCAGAAUUCAGUGAAUCAUCGAAUCUUUGAACGCACCUUGCGCUCCUUGGUAUUCCGAGGAGCAUGCCUGUUUGAGUGUCAUUAAUAUAUAUCAACCUAGUGUUGGAUGUGGGGGUCAAUUUUUUUGCUGGCUUUUUCUUGUCAGCUCCCCUGAAAUGCAUUAGCAGAACAAUUUCUGGAUCGUUCAUUGGUGUGAUAAUUAUCUACGCUAUUGACGUGAAAGCAGGUUCAGCUUCUAAUAGUCCAUUGACUUGGACAAUUUUUUCAUUAAUGUGACCUCAAAUCAGGUAGGACUACCCGCUGAACUUAAGCAUAUCAAUAAGCGGAGGAAAAGAAACUAACAAGGAUUCCCCUAGUAACUGCGAGUGAAGCGGGAAAAGCUCAAAUUUAAAAUCUGGCAGUCUCUCUGGCUGUCCGAGUUGUAAUCUAGAGAAGCGUUAUCCGCGCUGGACCGUGUACAAGUCUCCUGGAAUGGAGCGUCAUAGAGGGUGAGAAUCCCGUCUUUGACACGGACUGCCAGGGCUUUUGUGAUGCGCUCUCAAAGAGUCGAGUUGUUUGGGAAUGCAGCUCAAAAUGGGUGGUAAAUUCCAUCUAAAGCUAAAUAUUGGCGAGAGACCGAUAGCGAACAAGUACCGUGAGGGAAAGAUGAAAAGAACUUUGGAAAGAGAGUUAAACAGUACGUGAAAUUGCUGAAAGGGAAACGCUUGAAGUCAGUCGCGUUGGCCAGGGAUCAACCUUGCUUUUGCUUGGUGUACUUUCUGGUUGACGGGUCAGCAUCAAUUUUGACUAUUGGAAAAAAGUCAGGGGAAUGUGGCAUCUUAGGAUGUGUUAUAGCCCUUGGUUGUAUACAAUGGUUGGGAUUGAGGAACUCAGCACGCCGCAAGGCCGGGUUUUU